GCGUCUUUCAGCGGCGGAGCGCGCCAGGCAGAGCCGGAUCAUGUACAUGAGUAGGCCUGGGAUGCGCAGCAGGUCCAUGGCGUUACCGAUAAAGGCUGAGGCAAUGACGUAGUUCACGAAGAAAGCGCCGUUGUCGGGCAGGAACACACACCUAAGGGCAGCAGGUGCUCCAGCACUGCACCCUUGGGGUGAUCUGGUGGCUGUCUGUCCACUGCUAGCAUGACAGCACCCCAUGCUCUCGCUCUCUGUGACCUCCUCUACAUGUACACCCCCAGCUUAGACCCCCCCAAUACCCGUGCCCUAGUCUUUCCACAGUAUGAACCCCAGAAUAUCAAAAUAACAAAGCCAGCCCAGAGACCUACCUAGAUGGCAUGCCCUGAAAACAUCCAAGGAGAGAGUUCAAGGCCACCAGCAUAUGCAGCAAAUAAUUGCUGAGAGCUGAGACCUCCACGGAAAAUCUCAACGGCACUCUCUGAGAUCCCCAGGGAUGUAAGCCCCAACCAACGGGCUUGGUGACGUUGAACUUGUCCAUGGUGGUGAUGAUGAUGGCCGGGGUGGUGAGGAAGAAGAGCAGAAUGAAGAGGACCACAUUGAUGACCAGGCAGCGCAGCCACCAGAUGAAGCCUCGGAUGGAGAGGUGUUCCCUGGGGAGGUGGGGGAGGGGGCACUUUGA
This 673-nucleotide long non-coding RNA is filed under the name Mus pahari (shrew mouse). Its description in RNAcentral is "predicted gene 16172 (MGP_PahariEiJ_G0002800.1)". The record is from RNAcentral. Lineage: Eukaryota; Metazoa; Chordata; Mammalia; Rodentia; Muridae.